This 403-nucleotide ribosomal RNA is filed under the name Fusobacteriota bacterium. RNAcentral's name for it is "Fusobacteria bacterium partial 16S ribosomal RNA". It matches the Rfam family "Bacterial small subunit ribosomal RNA", at positions 355 to 776 of the family's 1533-position model. Lineage: Bacteria; Fusobacteriati; Fusobacteriota. The record is from RNAcentral.
UGGGGAAUUUUGCACAAUGGAGGAAACUCUGAUGCAGCGACGCCGCGUGAGUGAUGAAGAUCUUCGGAUUGUAAAACUCUGUCCUUAGUGAAGAUAAUGACAGUAACUAAGAAGCAAGCCCUGGCUAAAUACGUGCCAGCAGCCGCGGUAAUACGUAUGGGGCAAGCGUUGUCCGGAAUUAUUGGGCGUAAAGGGUACGUAGGCGGUUUAAUAAGUCCUAAUUAAAAGGCUAUGGCUCAACCAUAGUAUGGUUAGGAAACUGUUGAACUUGAGUAGAUGAGGGGAAAGUGGAAUUCCAUGUGUAGCGGUGAAAUGCGGAGAUAUAUGGAGGAACACCAAUGGCGAAGGCAACUUUCUGGAAUCAAACUGACGCUGAGGUACGAAGGCGUGGGGAGCAAACAGG